Molecule: long non-coding RNA, 1795 nt
Organism: Pezoporus flaviventris
Lineage: Eukaryota; Metazoa; Chordata; Aves; Psittaciformes; Psittacidae
Exons: 5
Source: RefSeq, a predicted model, not a curated record
UGUGCCAGUGGAGGUAAGAUCUGCACUUUGCUCAGUCGCUUGCAUUAGGAGAAGCGAGGUCCUGCUGGAUUUGAAACCGUGUGGUAAAAUGUCAGUAAAUAUUUCAGAGCAUGAGGCAGCGUUUAGACACCACAGCCAUGUGUAAUGCUGAGCUUUGAGGGUCAAAGGCCUGCCUUUGGACUGCCAAAAUACAAGAACCACCCCUCAGAUUUGGGAUACUAAUGGUUCUUGGAAACACAGGCGGGCUUCUGCUGAAAGCCAGGUGGACUUAAAGAGGUUGGUAAUUGUUGCUAGGGCUUUUUCCUCUGCUGGGGAUGAAUACCAAAUGAGCUGUUAACGCGGGGAUGUGGAUGGACAGUUAGUAGGGUGCCUAUCAGAGCUUUCCUGGCACCAGCUUUUUCAUCUUUUCCCCUGCAACAGGAUGCUCAGAGGGACCCGCUGCAAUUCUCACUGCACCGUAUGGAAAUCAGUUCACGUUUUCUCUGGAGAAAGAAAAUAACUGCUUCUGGUUUCUGGUUCCUUUUUUUUUUUUUUUGGCCUUUUUUUUUUCUUUCUUUUUUCCCCUUACACUUUGGAGCCUAAGGUAGCUGCAUUUAGCAGCUUUAAUGUCCUUUCAUUGCUGCUGCUUGCAGGGUUGUGGUCACUCAGGCAGCAGUAACUUUGAAAAAAUGACCCGUCUACACCCAAACAAUAACAGAAUCCCCCUUUUUAUGUUGGCAACGCCCACCGCUUUCUCUUCUCUUCAAGACUCCCCACGUAGACGCAACUGUUUGACCAGCCUUCUUCUGAACAACUUAAUUAAGCAAAAGAAAAAGUGUCAGUUUCUGCCAACCCCACAAAAACAGAGCUGUGGGGGUAAAAAGGGGAUGUGGCACCAGCCUGCAUUCCUCAACGGGCUAAUGAAGGGAGACCCUCGCUUUGCAGCGCUGUCAGGCAUAGCCAGGGCUAUCGUGACAUACUGCUUCACCCACCACCCCAGACACGAUGGGAGCCGGUGUGACCCGUGUCCCGUAGACACAGAGGUGCCCUGGGAAGCACCUCUGGCUUGGCAGAGGGGCACGUGUGUGCCUCUUCCCAUUAGAGUCAGCCCAGGGGAUCAAGCAGUUUUCCAAGCUGCAUGAAAAGGGGAGCCCCUUUUUAUUGUCAGGGACAGGCUACAAUUCUGCAAAGGUCGGGGGCUGCUCUGACUUUGCACAGUGCACCUACCACCUCUGAAAUCAAUGGGCUGGCUGUUCACCCGCACAAGUACAGUGCACAUGUAGGUCUUUGAAGGACCACGGCUUUGUCUGGAAAAGAGUGCAAUCUCAGUACAUCUACAGAAGAGGAUGGAUGGAGGAUCAGGUCUGUGCUCUGGCUCAGCACACAGCCCACAUUAUUACCGUGAAAGGAUUCCCCUAGUGCUGGAGGGUGAUGCUUAAACACGUGGCUUUGGGUCCAGAUCUGUGGUGCUGCACAGGCAUCGCUUCAUCAUGAGGCAAAGGUGUAGGUGGCUUAGGCAGCCACAGUGGACAGCAAGACAGCCAACCUGUUAGUGCUUGUAGAGAUGCAGUGUCCUCACAGCAAGACCAGGGUACAUUUAGCUACAAAAGAUGCUGCUAUUACGGAAAAGUUGCUUAUCCAUCCUGGCCUGGACAAACCUGCCUUCACCAAGCACAUGCUGCCAAAGAAGCCUUUGAAGAAAGCAAGCGGAGACAUCAGUACAGCCAGCAAGCCUGACUUAUUUCUUUGCAUGUAAAGCUGUGCAAAACAGAUCUCACUCACAAACAUCUUCAAAUAAUCAUCUCAAAAACUGAAA